This 801-nucleotide ribosomal RNA is filed under the name Longidorus andalusicus. RNAcentral describes it as "eukaryotic LSU rRNA". It matches the Rfam family "Eukaryotic large subunit ribosomal RNA", at positions 352 to 962 of the family's 3401-position model. The record is from RNAcentral. Lineage: Eukaryota; Metazoa; Nematoda; Enoplea; Dorylaimida; Longidoridae.
CGUGAGGGAAAGUUGAAAAGAACUUUGAAGAGAGAGUUCAAAAGGGCGUGAAACCGCUUAGAAUAAAACGGACGGAGCCGUCGGUGGCCUUCCGGAAUCAGUCGUACGACGCGUGGCGGGUCGUUCGGUCGGAGCGAAAAGUCUGACCGGCGUCUCUUGGCGUUCGUUUGACGCAUUUCCGGAUGGUAUGCGCCACGACCGAUGCGAAAGGCUAGGGAAUCCGGUGAAUUGAGGUGGAAACCCUUCACUCUGGGUAUUCAUUACCAGUUCGCCGGCUUAAUCGCUAGACCGGGUGCAUCGAGCGCGGAAAAGAGGAACGUCGGCGAAAAUAGCGCUCGCCUAAGCGAUGGAUAGUCGUCGGAAUAAGCCGUACCUGCUCGCAGGUUAUGUUUAUCUCUGUUCGGCUUUUGAAGUCGCCGGCGAGUUCAGGGCGUUCAGGCGUCAGUGGCGUCCGAGACGGUCAACCGUCCGACCCGUCUUGAAACACGGACCAAGGAGUCUAACGUACGCGCGAGCUAAUGAGUGGAAAACUCAUAAGCGCAAUAAAAGUAAAAGGUACGAUUCCGGGGGUAUUUUAUACGAUACACCGGGCGCAGUACCGUCCCAUCCUGAUCGCUCGUCGAUAGGGUGGAGAUUGAGUGCAUACGUUGGGACCCGAAAGAUGGUGAACUAUGCCUGAGCAGAGCGAAGCCAGAGGAAACUCUGGUGGAGGUUCGUAGCGGUUCUGACGUGCAAAUCGAUCGUCAGACUUGGGUAUAGGGGCGAAAGACUAAUCGAACCAUCUAGUAGCUGGUUCCUUUC